CAAAUUAUAGCUAAUAUAGAAUUUUAUUUACACUAAAAUAAAAAUUGUUAAAUCAAUUUAGUUUGA
Molecule: transfer RNA, 66 nt
Filed under: Gaeana maculata
Lineage: Eukaryota; Metazoa; Arthropoda; Insecta; Hemiptera; Cicadidae
Description: tRNA-Val
Source: RNAcentral